Molecule: transfer RNA, 85 nt
Filed under: Felis catus (domestic cat)
Lineage: Eukaryota; Metazoa; Chordata; Mammalia; Carnivora; Felidae
Rfam family: tRNA
About the family: Transfer RNA (tRNA) molecules are approximately 80 nucleotides in length.
Source: Rfam by way of RNAcentral
GCCUGGGUAGCUCAGUCGGUUAAGUGUCUGACUUUGACUCAGGUCAUGAUCUCACGGUCUGUGGGUUCGAGCCCCACGUCGGGCU